This 72-nucleotide transfer RNA is filed under the name Colletotrichum graminicola M1.001. Its description in RNAcentral is "tRNA-Gln (TTG) (tRNA-Gln-TTG-2-1)". It matches the Rfam family "tRNA". From Rfam's summary of the family: Transfer RNA (tRNA) molecules are approximately 80 nucleotides in length. The record is from RNAcentral. Lineage: Eukaryota; Fungi; Ascomycota; Sordariomycetes; Glomerellales; Glomerellaceae.
GGUUGUGUAGUGUAGUGGUCAUCACUCCGGAUUUUGAUUCCGGCAACCCCGGUUCGAACCCGGGCACGACCU